Ceratotherium simum simum (southern white rhinoceros) is the source of this 366-nucleotide non-coding RNA. NCBI's taxonomy places the organism in Eukaryota, Metazoa, Chordata, Mammalia, Perissodactyla, Rhinocerotidae. The record is from RefSeq and is a predicted model, not a curated record.
CAUCACCUCCUUCUUUGUCCUAAUGCGAUGCCAGGCAGAAGAAAGAGGAAAGACGAGUCAAACCUUGUCCCUUCCCACCAGGAGCUCACGAUCUAAAAUUAAGAUAAAGAAAGUGGACACGAUUCAAUGUGGCAAGUGCUCUGCUGAGGCCUGUCCGACAUGCCAUGGAGCAUGGAGAAGAGGGUGGCUCCCCUAUAUUUAAUGGCCUAAGACAAAGGAGGUCAGCAGCCUAUGGAGGAAGCAGAACUUAUUUAGAAGAAAGAUGUUUCCAAAAAAUUGAGAAGAAUAUCGGAGCCUUUUAACAAACACAGAUGGAUUUCGUAUUUAUUCUGCUUUCGUAAUAGAAUUUGACCUAUCCUGAAAUGA